AUGGGUUCCCAAGGCAAUCAUACCUUCCAUCCAUACCCCUCAAGCUCCGCCUUCCGCCUCGAGUUCCCAAAAAACUCUGCUCUACCCCGUCCCAUCUCCAUACAGCUCUCAAAGAAGCCACCGCCCCACUCGAGCACCCAAGCCAUGGCGAGCUACCCACUGAAUCUGGUUCCAUUCCUUCCUCCGGGGUUCACCGUCAAACCAGGGUCGGCUGAUCGCCUCAUCCACAGCGGCAUGGUGGUAGGGCUAAUACCACCUCUGAACCAUGAUUUCUUGUCCAUAGCCAAGACAAGUCCCUACGUUCCUCUCCACAGCCGAGCAGCCAUCUACAACAUGAUCGUCGAUCUUCUCCAUGAAUCUCAGCUCUUUACCACUGAAAGGAGAAGCAGCCAACUUUUAAGAGUGGAGUUAGCCCUAGAUUUCCUAGGCGUCAAAGGAGCGCUCGAGCACCUCGCUUCCUUACCUGGGUCGCCGUCUACAUUGGGCCUUGACUUGGGCUGUUGGUAUUGCAAUCUUCCAGCGAUAGCUGAUAGCAGCCUAGGUCUAGGAAUCAUGUGCUGCUAUCAGCUAUCGCGUGAAUCCUGUGGGGGUGCGAGGGAAGUUCUGGCGGCGGCAGAUGUGGUGCACACGGUGGAAGGGGAGAUGGGAUCUAAAGGAGGAAGGCAGGAUCGGGGGAGAAGGGAUGAGGAUGCAGCGAGGAGAAGGGAAGGAGGUGAGCAGGACUCGCAGAAGGGGGACCUGUCGAACAGAGGGGAGGAGGAGUACGGCGACUUCCAUGACCAUGAUAUAGAGGGCCAGUUUGCGGGGAUGCAUCUGCACGGGAAGGAGGAGGAAGACCUGGAUUUCUCAGAAGAGGUAGAAGAUUUAAUCAAGGACAUUCGCUGGCUCGCUUUGUUCCGCGUUCAAACCACAAAGCCUUUUAGUCAUGCGGCGCUCCUGACUCAGAUGCGCAAUGCGUGGUCAGCGGCACAAGGGGUCACCUUCAACAUUAAGGGACCUAACCUUUUUCUUGUCCACUGUCAUUGUCUGGGGGAUUGGAGGAAGAUUAUGGAGGGAGGACCAUGGUUAUUUAGAAGGGAUCCGGUGGUGAUCGAGGAAUAUGAUGGCUUUUCUGAUGUGAAUGAGUAUAGUCUCAACAAGAUUCCACUGUGGGCUCGUGUGAAGGGCUUACCUGAUAGCUUAACAAGGAAGAAAGAGUUGGCUGAAAAGGUUGCUGCAAAGGUUGGCGAGCCUCCCUUCACGGUGAUCGUCAACGAGGGGAGAAUCAAUCCAGCAAGCACCCUACGUGCACGUGUUUUUAUGGAUGUAGACACACCACUGCCGGCGCAACAGAUGGACUUGGAUGCUGAAAAAGGAGCUCGUAAGCGGCUGGUUAAUGCCGAUGGAUCUCUCACUGUCAGGGGGCAACCGAUAUCGAACCUCGCUGGUAAAGUUGCUGGAACGGUCUUGUUGCUGGAGGGUGCGACUCCAAGCUCUAGUAACAGUGCUCUGGUAUCUACUCCAGAGAAGAAUCCUAUAGUUAAGAGGAGGAGGCAGCAAGGGGACGAUGGGAAGGAUAUGGAGUUAACUACGGAGGCGGCCUCCCUCGAGGAGCGCCGCCGAGCGUGA
This 1608-nucleotide ribosomal RNA is filed under the name Triticum aestivum (bread wheat). Its description in RNAcentral is "partial small subunit ribosomal RNA". The record is from RNAcentral. Lineage: Eukaryota; Viridiplantae; Streptophyta; Magnoliopsida; Poales; Poaceae.